Molecule: long non-coding RNA, 306 nt
Filed under: Solanum tuberosum (potato)
Lineage: Eukaryota; Viridiplantae; Streptophyta; Magnoliopsida; Solanales; Solanaceae
Description: long non-coding RNA (STUB_LNC006202)
Source: RNAcentral
AGAAUUAGACGAUAUUGAUGAAUCUGUUAUUAAUUUUUUGUUGGUACCUCUUGGUGGCUUAUGGGAUGCAUCUAAUGCAAAUGAAAAAACACCAAAUGACUAUGGGUGCAUUAAGUUAGAUUUUAUUGGAGAAACAGAUGAUGCUUUUGGAGAAACAGAUGAUGAUUUUGAAGAAACAGAUGAUGAAUUUGGAGAAAAUAUGAAAUUUGGAGUUCGUUUGUUGUAUAAAAAUGAAUCUGAGCUUUGCAUUGGGAAAAGGAAGAGUAGAUAUGAAGAAGAGGCCACUUGCUCCUCUUCUAAGAAACU